GACUCUGAGCUAUGGAUUAUUUGGCUCUUGUGUUGAUGAAGAACGCAGCUAGCUGCUAGAACUAAUGUGAAUUGUAGGGCACAUUGAUCAUCGACACUUUGAACGCACUUUGUGGCCUUGGGUUACUCCUUGGGCUGUGCCUGUCUGAGGGUUG
Protopterus annectens (West African lungfish) is the source of this 154-nucleotide ribosomal RNA. RefSeq annotates it as 5.8S ribosomal RNA. The record is from RefSeq and is a predicted model, not a curated record. The transcript has a single exon. Lineage: Eukaryota; Metazoa; Chordata; Ceratodontiformes; Protopteridae.